Polyodon spathula (Mississippi paddlefish) is the source of this 1404-nucleotide long non-coding RNA. RefSeq lists it as uncharacterized. The transcript is spliced from 8 exons. The record is from RefSeq and is a predicted model, not a curated record. Lineage: Eukaryota; Metazoa; Chordata; Actinopteri; Acipenseriformes; Polyodontidae.
CAACUUGGACAGGGCAUGCGCGCAGAACACUGUCAUCUGACGCACCCAGCGGUUUUGGAAUUGAGCAUGCGCAUUAGAAAGCAGAGACAGUGGAAACUGGCGCCAUUUCGGAUCGGCGCAGCGUCAGCAUUGCCUAGAACACAGCGCGCAAAGAGCCAACAUGGAGAACCCUGCCAUCCAGCUUCAUAACCGCGUCGAGCCGCCCUCGCUUCCACAGGGAGGCCAGCCAAGAAUACGCGCCGAUUCAUCCAGGCUCGCCUUCUGCUGGGACUUGUGCACCUGGAGAGAGGCGGCUGCAGGCGCUGCUGAUUGUACAACACGCUGGCUCCUGCAGCGCGUCAGUCUCUGCAGACAAGUGUCGCUUUUCAAUGAGAUUAUUUACUGAGAAACAAACGCGUUUCAAUUCCAGCAGAGCUGCGCGGGGUCCUGAAAGACGGGCGCUGCUGCUUGCAAAGUCUGUUUGUGAUGCAUAUAUUUGAAUGGGAAGGCUGCGAUAAAAACAAAUAUAUCUACUAAAUACAAACCGAAGCGGUGUUUGUGGGUGAAAAGAGGAUUCCGUUAGACCAGUCUCCCAGUAAAACCAGUGCAGAUGGAGGUCAGGGUCUCCGUGCCGUUCUUUCAAGAGGCUGAGACCCCGUCCUGCGGGAAAUUCACUGAGUUCUGAGUAGAAAUGACUGGAUUGAAGAGAGAGAAUGAAAGUCUAAAGCUGAGAUUGGAAAUAUCAGAGAGCGAGCUGAGAGCCGUGCGAGGGUAUUUAAACAGACAUUAAACAGGCUUUCAUAUUUCAGGAUCCCAGAGAGAGCCACGCUAUCCCUGAAUCUGAAGCACAGGAGGAGCCAAAGAUAGAAGCGGUUUCCACACAAGAGGAGUCCUUUGAGCAGGAGUGCUGUGCAAGUCUAGUGCAGGUUUCAGAGCUGCCGUUUGUUAAAGAUGAAGAGAUCCCUCAACAGGAAUGUGUUCCUAUCAAAGAGGAGUUCAUAGAGCAGGAAUGUGUCUCCAUCGCAGAGGAACUUCCUGCUGAAUAUAAUGCCUGUACACUUGAGGAGAACAGCAAGCUAUGAUCCAGCCUGUGCGAUGAUUCUCCAGAGGCAGAGGAUUCAGACGACAGUGAUGCUGAACUGGGCAGUGAUGGACUCAAAGGAGAGCGGGAGUUGGGAGACAAUAUGAUGGAGAAAAGAGCUGACAUGGAUUCUGAAGUGGUCCUGACACAGUCCAUGGUAGUGAAGAAGGAUGCCCUGUCCAAAUGAUACUACAGAACUUACUGUUAUUAUAGCAUCUGUGCUCGUGUAAGGUACAGAUGCUACUAUGGUAAGUAAAUGGAUUCUAGUUUAUUUCUUUUUUAUUAAUGAGUCUUUUAGCAGUCGCUUUUCUCCAAAGUGACUUUGAGACUAGGGGGUGUGCUGU